UAAACAGAACUGCUUCCGUCUUGCGGAAGAACAUCGUAGCCGGAACUACUUCUCUCUGUUUAUGUCAAUGAAGAAUCACAAAGGUAAUGGGUUACUCUGCCACGGUACCCCCGAAGCAAUCUAAAAUAGUCCGAAUAUAAACACUUAUUAUAGGUGUACCCUAGUGAUUCAGGACAAGCUAAAAACACAGUUUGGAAAAUGGAUUCAUGAUGUACUCGCUUAUUAUGUACAUUUUUCUACAUUUUGUAGAAAAAUUCAAAUUUUAUUGUUCUUUGUGGAUUGUAACAGUAGUACACUCUGUACAUGGCUUUAGUUCAUAGGUUCGAUUUUACAGAGGUAUGGCAUUACAUUUGUCAAGUUAUUUGAACAGACAUGCAUGAUUUUUGUGUGUAUAUUAUUAUUAUUAUUAUUUUUCAGGAUGACAUGAUCAGGAGGUGGUGGUGUUCUGUUCUCCUGGACAGCUUUACUCCGCAAAUAGCUCAACCACUGAGGGGGAGAACUUCACCAUUCACCAUGUCUUCAGGCAGAGUCCAGCAAAGCAGCUUCCCCUGGAAAUCCUCAUGGAAGUUAUUUUGUCAGCGGGUGACUCUGCAUAUUUGACACUUUCUCUGGUUUGCAGAUGGUUUAGGGAUGUGCUCCGAAGUUUUUUGGAAAGCGGCACAGUUUGCCUGGCUAGACAGUAAGAUUUCCCCGUUUAAUGCUCAUUCUCCAAUUGAGUUCAGACGGAUGUACAGCAUCAGGGAACACUUGCAGUGCAGAGCCCUUUUCAAGUUUAACCCACCAGGGUACAGGGAAGAGACCGGCGUGGUGAUCUUCUGGGCUUUUGUUUACACAGGAUUUUGUUCCAAGGACUGUUUUUUAUUUUUUAUUUUUAUUUUUUGUGGCAUGAAACACAUUUGUGUGUUAAGUUCAUUGAAGGGAAAUAGAGAAUGGACUGAGAUCAGCUGGUUUUGAUGUAUUAAUUGAUGUAAUUUAAAGUUAAACUUUGCAGUGUAUAAUGUUUUAAUAAAAAAGCUAUGGCAAA
Molecule: long non-coding RNA, 1024 nt
Organism: Carassius gibelio (silver crucian carp)
Lineage: Eukaryota; Metazoa; Chordata; Actinopteri; Cypriniformes; Cyprinidae
Exons: 3
Source: RefSeq, a predicted model, not a curated record